Molecule: ribosomal RNA, 247 nt
Filed under: Salmonella enterica
Lineage: Bacteria; Pseudomonadati; Pseudomonadota; Gammaproteobacteria; Enterobacterales; Enterobacteriaceae
Description: partial 16S ribosomal RNA
Rfam family: Bacterial small subunit ribosomal RNA
Source: RNAcentral
AAAUUGAAGAGUUUGAUCAUGGCUCAGAUUGAACGCUGGCGGCAGGCCUAACACAUGCAAGUCGAACGGUAACAGGAAGCAGCUUGCUGCUUCGCUGACGAGUGGCGGACGGGUGAGUAAUGUCUGGGAAACUGCCUGAUGGAGGGGGAUAACUACUGGAAACGGUGGCUAAUACCGCAUAACGUCGCAAGACCAAAGAGGGGGACCUUCGGGCCUCUUGCCAUCAGAUGUGCCCAUCAGAUGUGCC